AGUUGGGUGGGGGUGGGGCCUCUGGCGACUCGUGCAAUCAUCAGAUGCAGCGCGCUUCGGCAGGAGUUUAUUUAGGAAACCAAGGCACGUGUUCCAAGACUGGAGCAGGCUGUUCCUGAGAUCCGGGGCAGCAUGAGAGAAGAGGAUGCCGUGGACAGAGCAGGGCAGUGAGCAGCGCCCCUCGGUGGCCUCUGCAUCAGCUCUGCCCCCCCCCACUCCCCGACCAGCCCUGCUUGAGCUCCUGUCCUGACUUCCCCCAGUGAUGGAGUGUGAUCUGGAAGUAUGUUUGUAGAUGGCCUCACCCCAAGAAUGUGUCCUCCGUUUUCUUCUUCUGUCCCUCCCUUGUGCCAGCCCCAUCCCUGGAAUCUGAGACUUCCAUGCAUGUAUUCUCCCCCACGAUGGGAAACCUGUGAGGGGCUGUGAGGUCAGGUGGCUUGGUGGCCUCAGCCUCCCACAAUGCACUGGGCUUCCCGUGCUCAGCACAGGUUUUGGAACAGGGCUGCUACGAUCUGAGUCCCAGUGACUGCUGCUGGCUGUGUGACCUCAGGCCUGCCCUGUGCCCCCUAAUAUUAAAAUGGGGGUAAAAUGGCCCCAGCAGGCAGGUUUGCUGUGGAGAAUAAAC
Molecule: long non-coding RNA, 622 nt
Organism: Meriones unguiculatus (Mongolian gerbil)
Lineage: Eukaryota; Metazoa; Chordata; Mammalia; Rodentia; Muridae
Exons: 3
Source: RefSeq, a predicted model, not a curated record